Molecule: ribosomal RNA, 193 nt
Filed under: uncultured bacterium
Lineage: Bacteria
Description: partial 16S ribosomal RNA
Rfam family: Bacterial small subunit ribosomal RNA
Source: RNAcentral
CAACUCGACUACAUGAAGCUGGAAUCGCUAGUAAUCGCGAAUCAGAAUGUCGCGGUGAAUACGUUCCCGGGUCUUGUACACACCGCCCGUCACACCAUGGGAGUCGGAAAUGCCCGAAGUCAGUGACCUAACCGAAAGGGAGGAGCUGCCGAAGGUGGAGCCGGUAACUGGGGUGAAGUCGUAACAAGGUACC